RNAcentral lists this ribosomal RNA (522 nucleotides) under Carabus stenocephalus. RNAcentral describes it as "partial 16S ribosomal RNA". The stretch from base 396 to 522 matches the Rfam family "Bacterial large subunit ribosomal RNA", at positions 2473 to 2599 of the family's 2925-position model. The record is from RNAcentral. Lineage: Eukaryota; Metazoa; Arthropoda; Insecta; Coleoptera; Carabidae.
GUCCUUUUGAUUUUUAUUUAAGGUCUAGUCUGCCCACUGAAUUUAUAUUUUAAAUGGCCGCAGUAUUUUGACUGUGCAAAGGUAGCAUAAUCAUUAGUUUUUUAAUUAAAAGCUUGUAUGAAAGGCUGGACGAGGUAAGAUCUGUCUCUAUUUAAAUUAUAAUAGAAUUUAACUUUUAAGUUAAAAGGCUUAAAUAUUAUUAAAAGACGAGAAGACCCUAUAGAUCUUUAUAAUUUAUUUAAUAAAAUUAAUCUAGAAAUGUUAAUAUUUUUAUUUAAUUAAAUUAUUUUAUUGGGGUAAUAGAAAGAUUGAAAUAAUUCUUUUUUAUUAUAAACAUUAAUUUAUGAAUAUUAAAUGAUCCAGUUUUACUGAUUAUAAGAUUAAGUUACCUUAGGGAUAACAGCGUAAUUUUUUUAGAGAGUUCAUAUCGAUAAAAAAGUUUGCGACCUCGAUGUUGGAUUAAAGAUUAUUUUAGGUGCNGAAGCUUAAUAAUUUUGGUCUGUUCGACCAUUAAAUCUUUAC